AAAUCGGUUGCCCCAACACAGAGCCCUAGCCCAUUAUCUUCAUAUAGCAAUAUUUUAUUAUGCAAGUUUGACAUAUAGUAGAUAUUGAAUUACGCUUUUAUAUUAGGACCCCCUUAGUAACAUAUAUAGAAAGUAUGGAUUAAUCUUUAUUUCUUCUAUAAUUUAACCUGGACUUUGAAUAACUUAGGGGGAGAAAAUAUAUUUGAUAUUAUUCACAUCAACAAUUAUACGGAUUAUCUGGACUAAAAUAAGUUCCAUAAUAGCAUUUAAUGUUAUGCUUUCAACGAUAACUAGGGGCAAGAUCUCUCUCUCUCUUUGUGUCCCCCUCCCUCACUUGCUUUUGCAGGAAUUCGCAGCAUAUUUAUAUUCUCCAUAGAAGGUAAAAUGCCUAUACAAAAUAGAUUCGACUGAGAACAAAACAGGCAUGACUAGUUUUUAACAUGUUUCAAC
RNAcentral lists this long non-coding RNA (450 nucleotides) under Setaria viridis. RNAcentral's name for it is "long non-coding RNA (SVIR_LNC004406)". The record is from RNAcentral. Lineage: Eukaryota; Viridiplantae; Streptophyta; Magnoliopsida; Poales; Poaceae.